Non-coding RNA from Paramuricea clavata, 483 nucleotides. Lineage: Eukaryota; Metazoa; Cnidaria; Anthozoa; Malacalcyonacea; Plexauridae. The record is from the annotation of a GenBank genome assembly.
GUUAAAUUUCAUUGCGUUACUUGCGCGAGUGAAGUGGUGACACGAGCAAUGAUAGCUUAGCCGCGUCGCAACUAUUUGCAUGAAAAUCCGGACACUAGUGUUCGCAAUUCGCAAACGUCACUGACAGCAACAUGGCGUCGAAAAAAAACUUGUGGUCAUAGCUGCAAUGCUUUUGCUGGAAGAAGAUGACGAGGAGGUUAAAGAAAAGAAACGUAUUUGGAGCCGGCACUGGCUUCUAGAGAGAAAAAACAAAGGUUAUUUCGGUCAGCUUCUUCCCGAUCUGGCUGCCCACGACACACCAGGAUUUGAAAAAUUUAUGCGAAUGGAUUUUGAUCAUUUCAAAAAGAUAUUUGAUAAUCUAUCUGAAACGCUUUACAAGAAAGACACAAUAAUCGCUUCGAUAUUUGGCAGCGCUACAGCACGCUGUCCGUACAGAAGCGAAUUUCAUUGGCUAUCUUAAAAUAGCCCAUGCGUUUCCUGCUC